Pelobates cultripes (western spadefoot toad) is the source of this 237-nucleotide non-coding RNA. The record is from the annotation of a GenBank genome assembly. NCBI's taxonomy places the organism in Eukaryota, Metazoa, Chordata, Amphibia, Anura, Pelobatidae.
CUCACCAUCAGAGUCUCACCUCCCACCCUUUCCUAAUACACAGACAUAAGGAGACUUACCUUGCACCCCCUCCUAAUACACAGACAUAAGGAGACUUACCUCGCACCCACUCCUAAUACACAGGCAUAAGGAGACUUACCUCCCACCAUCUCCUAAUAUACAGACAUAAGGAGACUUACCUCCCACCCUCUCCUAAUACACAGACAUAAGGAGACUUACCUCCCACCCUCUCCUAAU